CCUACGGGUGACUGCAGUGGGGGAUAUUGCACAAUGGGGGGAACCCUGAUGCAGCGACGCCGCGUGGGUGAAGAAGCGCCUCGGCGCGUAAAGCCCUGUCAGCAGGGAAGAAAAUGACGGUACCUGAAGAACAAUCCCCGGCUAACUACGUGCCAGCCGCCGCGGUACUACGUAGGGGGCAAGCGUUAUCCGGAUUUACUGGGUGUAAAGGGGGCGCAGACGGCGAUGCAAGCCAGGAGUGAAAGCCCGGGGCCCAACCCCGGGACUGCUCUUGGAACUGCGGGGCUGGAGUGCAGGAGGGGCAGGCGGAAUUCCUGGUGUAGCGGUGAAAUGCGUAGAUAUCAGGAGGAACACCGGUGGCGAAGGCGGCCUGCUGGACUGCAACUGACGUUGAGGCCCGAAAGCGUGGGGAGCGAACAGGAUUAGAUACCCUUGUAGUC
RNAcentral lists this ribosomal RNA (440 nucleotides) under uncultured bacterium. Its description in RNAcentral is "partial 16S ribosomal RNA". It matches the Rfam family "Bacterial small subunit ribosomal RNA", at positions 338 to 795 of the family's 1533-position model. The record is from RNAcentral.